This 72-nucleotide transfer RNA is filed under the name Camelus bactrianus (Bactrian camel). It matches the Rfam family "tRNA". Rfam says of the family: Transfer RNA (tRNA) molecules are approximately 80 nucleotides in length. The record is from Rfam by way of RNAcentral. Lineage: Eukaryota; Metazoa; Chordata; Mammalia; Artiodactyla; Camelidae. RNAcentral also lists the same sequence under 2 other names.
GAGGGUAUAGCUCAGUGGUAGAGUACCUGCUUAGCAUGCAUGAGGUCCUGGGUUCAAUCCCCAGCACUGCCA